UACGGAGGGGGCUAGCGUUGUUCGGAAUUACUGGGCGUAAAGCGCACGUAGGCGGCGCGACAAGUCAGAGGUGAAAGGCCUGGGCUCAACCUGGGAACUGCCUUUGAUACUGGCGUGCUGGAGUCCGGAAGAGGGUGGCGGAAUUCCCAGUGUAGAGGUGAAAUUCGUAGAUAUUGGGAAGAACACCGGUGGCGAAGGCGGCCACCUGGUCCGGUACUGACGCUGAGGUGCGAAAGCGUGGGGAGCAAACAGG
Molecule: ribosomal RNA, 253 nt
Filed under: uncultured bacterium
Lineage: Bacteria
Description: partial 16S ribosomal RNA
Rfam family: Bacterial small subunit ribosomal RNA
Source: RNAcentral